This 205-nucleotide long non-coding RNA is filed under the name Homo sapiens (human). RNAcentral's name for it is "HSALNT0145312". The record is from RNAcentral. Lineage: Eukaryota; Metazoa; Chordata; Mammalia; Primates; Hominidae.
GUUGAAUCGAAAAGGCACAGGUGACUUAUCCACUUCCCAGCAUGGGCAUGUGGGCUGUUUCCAACCUAGGUUAUUAUAAAUAAUGCCACAAUAAAUAUCUUUUCCAUAUUUAGGGCCAAUAGGACGGAUUCCCAGGUGUGGAUUGACAUCUCACCAAAUGCCAGCCCCAGGUCAUGCCCACAGAGACGCCUGCAGCAGCGCAUGG